This 517-nucleotide ribosomal RNA is filed under the name uncultured bacterium. Its description in RNAcentral is "partial 16S ribosomal RNA". It matches the Rfam family "Bacterial small subunit ribosomal RNA", at positions 355 to 861 of the family's 1533-position model. The record is from RNAcentral.
UGGGGAAUUUUGGACAAUGGGCGAAAGCCUGAUCCAGCAAUGCCGCGUGUGUGAAGAAGGCCUUCGGGUUGUAAAGCACUUUUGUCCGGAAAGAAAUCCUUGGCUCUAAUACAGUCGGGGGAUGACGGUACCGGAAGAAUAAGCACCGGCUAACUACGUGCCAGCAGCCGCGGUAAUACGUAGGGUGCAAGCGUUAAUCGGAAUUACUGGGCGUAAAGCGUGCGCAGGCGGUUUGCUAAGACCGAUGUGAAAUCCCCGGGCUCAACCUGGGAACUGCAUUGGUGACUGGCAGGCUAGAGUAUGGCAGAGGGGGGUAGAAUUCCACGUGUAGCAGUGAAAUGCGUAGAGAUGUGGAGGAAUACCGAUGGCGAAGGCAGCCCCCUGGGCCAAAUACUGACGCUCAUGCACGAAAAGCGUGGGGAGCAAAACAGGAUUAGAUACCCUGGUAGUCCACGCCCUAAAACGAUGUCAACUAGUUGUUGGGGAUUCAUUUCCUUAGUAACGUAGCUAACGCGUG